This 71-nucleotide transfer RNA is filed under the name Phymatostetha sp. D9. RNAcentral's name for it is "tRNA-Met". Lineage: Eukaryota; Metazoa; Arthropoda; Insecta; Hemiptera; Cercopidae. The record is from RNAcentral.
AAAAAGAUAAGCUAAUUAUUAAGCUAAUGGGUUCAUACCCCAUUUAUAGAAGUCCAUCCUUCUUCUUUUUA